Acinonyx jubatus (cheetah) is the source of this 9645-nucleotide long non-coding RNA. RefSeq lists it as uncharacterized. The transcript has 2 exons. NCBI's taxonomy places the organism in Eukaryota, Metazoa, Chordata, Mammalia, Carnivora, Felidae. The record is from RefSeq and is a predicted model, not a curated record.
UCCAAUUAGAGAUACAAGAAUGAAACUUGUAAUAUGAUAGUAGAAAUAAAGAUUACUUUUUUAUUUUUUAAACAAUCUUAUUUUAAGGUUAUUUAUUUUGAGAUAGAGAGAACGUGCAUGAGGGGAGGAGGGGCAGAGAGAGAGGGAGAGGGAGAGAAUCUCAACCAGACCCUGCACUGUCAACAUACAGCCUUAUGCUGGGCUCUCUCCUGUGAACCUGAGAUCAUGAAGUGAGGCUAAAUCGUCAGAAAGAUGCUCAAACAGCUGAGCCACCCAGGCACUCCAAGACUACUUUUUAAAGAAGCACCUAAUGUAAGUCAGAGAUCAGUGUGGUAGAACCAGUGAAGAGCCAUCCAGAUUUUCCGUCAAGGAAGGGCUUCUUCCAGCUGCCAGGAAUGAGGUCAGCAGACAGACUCCAGAGGCUGACUCCUUCAGCUGGGCCAUGGAUUUGUCUCAACUGCAGAGGAGACAUCUCAGGGGGGAUUACUCCAUUGCUUUGGCAACCCAUAUCUAGUGACUGGGUCGGUCAGGCAUGUAAAUAUCUGGCAUUUUGGCCCAACAUGGGCCAACACUGAUAGGCAAUACUUCACUCCAGAUUCCCCCAGGAGGCUGACCAUGGCUUUAUUGGGCCUGCAUUACAGUUCAAUUUCUUCUUCUCUCCCCUCCCUGCCACCAGUGUUGAUCCCAAAUGAAUACACAUUUCCAUUUCAGUGUCUCAUGCUAGGAAACAUAAACCAUGACCUUUAGGACAGCUAGAAGAUAUGAUAAAAGCUAAAACAAAAAUACUUGAUGGCAAAAAAAAGGCCGGUGGCUUUGGCGUUGAGGGCAUUGCUAAGGAAGAGAUUGUUAACAAAAUAAUGGUAAAAGCCAUGUAUUGAACAUGGGCUCUGUGUCUUUUCCUAUGCUAACAGAUUUAUAGUUUAUACAUAUCAUUUCAUUUAAUAUCCAAAGCAACACAAUUCGUUAGGCAUUCGCAUCCAUGUUUUAUGGAUUAGGAAAGUUAUGUGUGGGAAAGACGGAUGAUUUUCCUUUACUUGUGAAUGGCAGUUUUCAAAAGUAGUUUGAGAAAUCAGACUCAAUUCUUAUAACUAGUGUUAAGUUCAAGGUGGACCAGAUAAUUUACAGGGUAAUCAUUGUUUAUAGAAUGUAUAGAAAAGAGGUUUAAUGGAACAGUCUUAGACAUGGACUUCUCAUUUUUCAUAUCCUCAUAUCUUAGCUCCUUAUAGUAUAAAUUCUUGAUAUUAGGUUAGUAUUUUUCUGGAUACAUUAUCUCUUCUUCUAGAUUGCCACUGCAAAAACUUCUUGAAAAUAACAUCUCUUAAUUAUAUUGAUUCCAUUCCAUCCCCAUCACUUUUUGUUCAUACCUUCUGCACCUGGAUCAGACUACUUUUGACCCUUUGCUUUAAUACUUGGAAACAUUAAGCUCUUUACAAAGGGACCAUUUGAAGGUGUGGUUUUCCUUAACCUUUUCUCUUCAACCACCUACUGUUCUUUUCUACUGAAACAAUCUAUUCUUAGCUGAACAUCCUAAACUAUCUCAUGGUCCAGAGAUGUAACAUCUUUCAUGUGUUAAAAUAUGAUAUUCCCCUGACCAAUUCUAAAUAACUAUUCUUCCAAAAUCUCCACACUUCCCCCUCCAAAGUUGGUGUUCAGUCUAACAUUACCAAAAUGACCCUUUACUGUCCAGUCAGUCCUCCAAUAUUGGAGAAUUUCAUCUGACUCCAUUUUCCUUCCUGUUUAACCUUGAAAAUUUGCUAAGUCAUUUAAAUGAUAUUCUUACUGACAUCUUCCAUUCUUAUCUUACUUGGAUUGUGAGAUGUGCCAUACCAACCAACCACCAUUUUUGUUUUCGUUUAUGCAAAGAACAGUCCUCUUUGAAACUCCAUUGCACACUGGAGGUUUACUGGAAUAGUGACCUAUCGGGACUCCUUCUGCAAGCAAAAUAGCUGCACCAGGCUAGAAUUUGCACGGAGUCCAUGCCUGUCGCCACCUCAAGAGUAAAAGCAUCACAACUUCUUUUAGGCCUUGGACUCUACAUGCUGGGUGCCUGGCUUUCUUGGGCAACUGCUGGAAAUAACUACAUUCAAACACACUUUGCUUGUCAUCACAAUGGUAUUUUUAUUCUCAAGCUUGAACUGCAAAUAGAAAAGUCAACAGCAUAUGGAUGCAAUGUGAUGUUUCUAAUAUCUACAUUUAUUCCUAUUACUUUAAAAGUAGACCCAAGGUGUCUGGGGAAGGAAAGAUUAUUAUUGUUAUGGCAAUAACCACAUUGAUUCUUCUUUGGCUCAAUUCUCCUCUCUUCCAGCGCAAUGUGAUGACAGUCAAAUGCUAUCCUACGUGUACUGGGUCUGUAUCAUAGGACAGGAACCCUGAAAAUAUGAAUCUGGUAUGUACAUACUUUGCCUCCUUCACCUCUUGAGGGGAAAGAAAUUUGAUCUCUCUAAUGGAAACACAUUCUCCUGGGGAAGAGAAGGGUAAAGACUUUGUGUUCUUGCUCUCUGGGAUGCCAGUCAAUGCCUCCAGAUGGAAAACAAGGUGAUAGAGUGGAUGUUGUCCAGAGCCUGCUGCCAUGUAUGUGGUGAUCAUGCUUACAUCAUUCAGCUUCAACACAAAACCUUCUCAGGUCCCUUUACCCCUAAUUCCAUCCACCUGCUCCAUAAGAAUUGCAACAAAGACCAUGGUUUUUUGCUUUAGCUCAACUGGAUUCAAAUAUCCUUUCCACAGGGUGUUAGCUGCGUAAUCUAGGCCAUGUAAUAAUUGCUUCAGUUUCUUCUUUGAAAGCUGAAGGUACUAAUAACUACUCUGGAAGAAAAUUAGGAGGUAGAAAAAUGUACACCACUUAACUUAGUACCUAGUACUCAAAAUGUAGUUACUACUGUUAUUUUGUAAUUACUUCAUAAUUGUUUCAUCUUUCGCUUUAGUACUUUAAGUGCAUAUCCUUUACCUACUUUAACCUCAGCAAACAAAACUAAACAAAACAAAACAAAAUCUUCUGAUUCUUAACUACAGAUAAUGUUCUGACCCACACCACUCUCCAGUUAUAGAAUUCCUUCCUUUCCAUCUUCUCUUUCAUUGAUAAACGCCUGAAGGUUUGCUCACUGCACCCACAGCACUCAUGGCCUCAUCUCCAAGUGUGUUUCUUCAUUUUCCCAUUGCCUUGUGCUUAGUCACGGCUUUCUAAUGCCUGGAUUCACAGGGCCUUUUCUCGGAUCACAUCCUACUUUGCUACCCUGCAACACUGACCACAUGUCUUAAAAUCAUCCUUUCCCAAGUUUCCUGAGAGUGUAUCCUGAUUCUUCCCCUACUCUGAGCAAGCUUUGUCAUUUUCUUUUGUUAGAUACUUUCCUUAUAAUGUGUGUCCCCUGGAAGCAUCAUCCUCCUGGCUCCUCCCAUGCUGUGGUCUCUGUGAGCUAAUCACUGUUGACAAGGCUUCUCUUUCUCGGACUUGAAAAUAUCCCCCAGCAUACUUCUUUUAGUUGCUUGGUUUGACCAUCUUGUAAGCUGUUUGCAAUCACUACCUAACUAGACAACCCAAAAUCAUAGGUACAAUCUAAUAUCAUUCAUCAAAGGAUUUCCUGUGUAACCCAAUUGAAUAAAGAAAUUUUUAAAAAGGGGAAAACAACAGUAAAGCAGAAAACAAGGGCAAACUUAUAGUCUGCCCUCUGAAUGCUCUGAACUGCUGUGUGUGAGUUUGUUUUGUAAACUUGAGAGGAAAAGAGGUACUCUUCAUGACGUUCAUAUCUUAGACACUUUAUCUUUGUGAAUUCUUCUGAAAAGCCUCUGUGAGUUCGUAAAGUGUUAAAAUAAAGCUCUAUCAUGCAGCAUAAGAGCAAAAUGAGUAUUGAGGAAAAAAAAAUUUCUUGAUGUGACUGUCCUGAAAAAAGAUUACCUAAGCUGUCACAAACACAUAAAUGCAUACCCCUGAUGCUGAAGGCAUCUUAUUCAUUGUCCCCACACUUUGCAUCUGUUUUACUAGCUUUAUGAAUCCUUAAUUAAACUUUUGUUCACAGAAAAGGAACAUUUAGUUGUAGACUCUGGGUCUAAAGUUCUCUCUUGUCUAGCAAAAGAGCGGGACAAAGGAUGAAAAGUAAGAGAUGGCUAAUGUCUGGGAAAAGACAAGAACUCUGAAUAAGGUUCUUUGCCCCAUUUUUAUUAGGAUCAGAAGGCUUACACACAUGCUGAUGGAUUUGCACAAAGAGACAACGAAUCUGUGAACAUUAACUUGUGGACGUGAGGGAAAGGGGAUCUUGAGGAUGUUUGGGAUUAUGGGUUUGGGUUAAUACAAAACAAAAUCUGGGCACCAGGCAGUAGGGAAGAAGGUUGUUUACAGUGAACAUGAGGCAGCACCUCUGUUUAUCUUAGCUAAACCCAGGGAUGAGACAGGUAGGGGAAAUAACCUCAGGGUUGACAAGACACCUUUUCUUUUGUUAAUCUUUUCCGAUCUGGGCCGCUUUGCCUGAAGGGCAGCUGGUCCAUAGUCCAAUUCACCAAUUUACCUGACAUGGCCUCCCUGUGAAAGCAGCUUUUCUGCAAUAGUACUAAACUGGGGGUGAUUCCACCCUGAAUAUCUAAUCUUGUUUAUUUCCUAAACCUAUGUAUUGGGCAUCUUUGCGCCAUUCCUAUUUUAGACCUUGUCUCUCCCUCUCUGUUCUGGGGCUCUGCAAUCCGUCUGUAUUUUGGGGUGCCUUUGCACCAUCCUAUUCUUGGCACCUUUGUGCCUCCCUAUUCUCGGGGUGCCUUUGCACCCCCUAUCUUUGGGGUGCCUAUCUGGUUUACCCAAACUCGGGUGUAAGCAUUCUAUGACUUUGUAUUUCUUCAUGCCUUGUUAACCCAUCAGUUUAAGCCCAGGGAUUCCUAAGCUUAUCCCCCACAUUUAAUGAGUCUAGUUAUUUAUUGACUUGAUAUGACUUAAGAAAAAUGUUGACUGUUUUUGUUCUCCUACUUUUUUCUUCAUACUUGAGCUUCUGUCUUUGUGUUACACAAUCAAUAUGGCUAAAAUCUUCUUCUAUGAAAGCUGCUUUUUCCCUCCUCAGUGCCUGAUGCCUCACUUCCGGCUACUCUCCCUUCGUCUGAUGCUUCACUUCUGGCCACCCUGCAUUCCUCUCGUGCUCUGCUUCCUGGCUUGUCUGUGGCUUUGGCCUGCCUCUACAGCAGCUUUGGUUGAAUAGCACACAGCUGUCCUCCCUCCUCCCACAUACAGUUACCUUUGGCACAAUCUUCCUACCAGUACUCAGAGCUGCUGCUUAGAAAAAGGAACUAAUGCAAGUGAAUGGAAAAGACAGUACAAAUUCUAUAACCAUGAACUAUAGGACAAGUCAGAUAUUCAUAGGCAAUAGUCUUCAGUCUUUUAAAGGUCUUCAGUUAGGUUAGACUUGUAUCUUUAGCUGAUGAGAAUCAGAUGAAGAGGGAGAUCACAUAAGGAGACAGCUUUGCUAUAUAGCUCUUUCCUCUCCCUGGGAUGAGUUUCCUCCAGAUCAUCUGUUUGGCUCAUCCCUUCAUCUCCUUCACAUGUUUGCCUUCAGAUCUCACCUUCUCGUGAGAUAUACUCCUGACAGCCUUGUUUCAUACUUCAACCUAUUCCAUGUCCCCUCUGGCAUUCUGAAUCAACUCUACCUGGUCAAUUUUUACUUAUUUUCCCCAUGGGCCUUAAAUCUGUAAAUAUACUAGAUAAUCUAUCUACUACAUUUUCUACUUUUAUUUUUACUUUUUAAUGACACAACAUAGCUCCAAGAGGGCAGACACUUUGGUUUGGUUGGAUCCCAAACACCAAAAGCCUGUCAAUAAUAGGCAUUUAAAAAACACCUAGGAAUGAAAAGAAGGAAAAAAAGGAAAGAAGGAGAGAAUGAUGGAAGAAAGAAGGAAGAGAAAGUCAGAAGCAAGAAAUGAAGGAAGGGUAGCAAUCAUAAGCCAAAUAAAUGAUUAAUUAUUUUCUCUGCCAAGUUAAUAAAUAUUUAUUUCAGAUCAGCUCAACAAAUGUUUUCUGAAUAACUCUAUAAUUAUUAUUCAGUGUUAUAAUACAUAGGGAAAGAUAUUCAUCCUUAGUUAAAGGAGCCUGUAAUAAUUUAGGAAUACAGCAUCCCGUUAUAAUGCAGUGAAGUAUUACAGAUGUUGGAAUACUGUGUAACAGAAAUGCUAUGACAGGUUUGCACCUUACCUCAUCCUAACUGCUCCAGGAUAAUGCAGUGCCUGAGGUGGGAGGUGCUAUUAUUGGAAGUGCAACAGUAGAGGCAAGGAGACCAGUAGGGAGACUCAUGUUCUUCGGGUGAAACAAGAUGUGUGCUGGCCUGAAAACAGUGGUAAUAUAACAAGAAGGCAGGGAUGGAUUUUUGAAGUACCUAGGAGAUAAUAUUAGAGGAACAGGAUGAAUGAUAGAGUAUGAAAGAUUUGCUUGUAGUAAGGUAUGGAUUUAAAACUAUGCAGAUCAAAUCCAUUCAUCCUUGGGGUGACCAUUAUAUCAUACUGCUACAUGACAGUCGAAGGGAUAAAUCCAGUCAAGUGAUCAGAGCAAAAGCCUCAGAAGGACACGAGGCAGAGAAAUUCCAGUUUGGAAUAUUUCUCGUGUUUCCAGGCACUGAAAGGUAAUUAAUACUGCUAAAACCAGGAUUUAGAAAGAGUAGGGAAAAGUGCCCAGCACUUAAUAAAGCACCAGCAAUUAUUCAGUUUUGUUUUUUACAUUUACUUAUUUAAUUUACUCUAAGACAAAUUGGUAAUGUUUUUAAAAUUCCAAGAACGAUAAGAAAAGAAUAUGUCAAUUCAGCUCAUUUUUCAUGGGACCAAAGACUUAAGGAAAUUAAUUGGAAAAAAAAAUUAUGAGAAGUGUUGUACUUAUUUAAGACAAGAAUGUCAUUAAAGUUUUCAACUAUUAACUUCCAUGAUUUAAUAAAUUAUUAGUUGCAUGGUGCAUAAAUAAUUACUCCGUGAGGUUUGGCACAGUAUCUUGUUUGUUUGUCUUCCCCAGUCCAGGGCUUCAAUAAAUCUUUUGGUGGCUAAAAAAAUGAAUGAAUAGGCAGAUUAUUAAUAAAAUGGGUUUUGGAAUCAGAAAGAAAUGUUUUAAAUCCUAGUUCGGCCACCUACUAGUUGAGAAAGCAACUUUACUUUCUGAGCUUCAGUGUCCUCAUAUGUGAAAUAAAAAUAAUAGCUCUACCUCACUAGGUUGCUGACAUUUAAAAGUAAUAAUCAGUUAUUAUUUAAAACAGCACAGUGCCUAGCAGGUACUGUGUGUUCAAUAAAUGUUAAUAAUUAUUAUAAUAUUCCAGUUUGCAUGCCAGGUAGAUUUUAAGCCACAAGUAAAUUUGAAUUUUUAAGGCAGCCUUCAAAAACAAGUGACCAUUGUGCACUCAGUAAGCCAGAGGGCGAAUCCCUAUAAUGGAGUCUCCGUGAGAAAAACAUAUUUUCAACACUUUUUCCUCUUAAAUCCUCAGUUCAUUAUUUCACCAUGUUUUCUCUUCUCUUUGACUAUUCUUAAUCAGAGAUAAGAAAUGUGUCAUAUAAUGAAAUGCUUAAAAUGAAACUAUCUACUUUAUAGUGGGAAGUGCUGAGACAUAACCAGUCAUUUUUAAAAUAUUUUAUUCUUUUCGAACAUAGAGUUGAAUUGUAUUUAUGCAAGAAAUAUAUUCAAUAGCUUCUACAAACUUAUGAAGUAGGUGUCUCAGAAGAAUAACAAAAGUUUCACUAUACUACCUAGAAAUUGAUGGGAUCCUAUAAAGCAAAUGGUGUAGCUUUAAUAUUCUUUAGGAAGGUUCCAGAAUGAUAGUAGGCCUAAGAGCACGUUUUAGCUGUUAAUGAAAUGGAUAAAAACCAUGCGAUUAAACCGCUUUCCUUUCCCCCCAAUGUUUUUCUUUAAUUGAAGUAUAAUUGCCAUAAAAUGUUACAUUAGUUUCAGGUUCACAACAUAGUGAUUGGACAACUCUAUACCUUGUGUUAUGCUCACUACAAUAUAGCUACCAUCUGUCACCAUACAGAACUAUUAUAAUGUAAAAUAUAUUCCCUAUGCUGAACCUUUUUAUCCCUGUGACUUAUUCUUUACGUAACUGAAACCUGUACCUCCCACUCCCCUUCAUUCAUUUCACACAUGCUUUCAACACACCUCCCCUCCCCCCCACCCCUCACCUCUAGCAACAGCCAGCUCAUUCUCUGUAUUAUGGGUCUGUUACUAUUUCAUUGGUGGUGGUGAUGGUUGGUUUGUUGGCACAUUCUGUUUUCUUAGAUUCUACAUUUCAGUGAAAUCAUAUGUUUUUUGUCUUUCUCUUUCUUAUUUCACUUAGCAUAAUACCCAUUAGUUGCAUCCACGGUGUCACAAAUGGAAAGAGCUCUUUCUCUUUUAUGGCUGAGUCAUAUUCUAUUUUAUAAAUAUUCCAUAUCUUCUUUAUUCCUUCUAAUGUGAAAAGAUAUAUGCACCCCUAAGGUUAUUGCAGCAUUAUUUACAUUAUUAUUACAUUAUUUACAUUAUUUAUAGCCAAGGUCUGGAAGCAACCUAAAUGUCCAUUGAUAGGUACCAUCUACCUUUUAAAAAAGUCAUAUCAUUUAUUAACCAGAGGGAAAUGUAAAAGAAACUGUAGUGUUAGAUUCACUGACUGCAUGGGAGCUCAAAUACAAGAUCUAGACAAAUAAAUAUCGAAACCAUUACAAACCUCUGGUAAAUGAAAUAAACCUAGUAAGUGAAAUGGGUGCGUAAGGGCAAAUUCUAUUUGUUUUAUUCAUUCCUCCAUUCAGGCAAUUCAUAAUUUGAUCAGUUAUGCAUUCCACUAGUUAAAUAUGCCAAAGAGGUGCCAGAAUUUUGCUAGUUGCUCCUGCUGAUUGCUGAUGGUUAUAAGGUGUUCCAUCCAGUUAACAAAUUAAUGCAGUCACCUACCUACCUUGACUCUUCUGUGAAAUGAUUAAUAAUAACAGUUACAAGUGUUACUUACAUGACAAAAUUCUGAUAAGGAACAUAUGGUUUUAUUUUGUCAAAAUCAAGCAAAAAAUAGAUGAUAUACUGGAAAUAGAUACUCAUGAUGCACAGAGAAUUCCCUCUCUAGUUUUGGAGGGAUAUUCUAAAACAAGAAAACCUAAACAGAGUUGGAAAAUAAUUCAUGUUUAGGCAGUAUUGUCCAAAGGUGGGGGAGCUUUCCUAAAAGAAAAACAGUUCCUUGGAAUUCCUUUUGCCACUUUGAAUUAUUGAUUUAUAAAACUUGACAUUAGCACCCCUGGCUGGAUGUUUUUUUAUGGUAAUGCUUUGCCAAGAUUACUGAGGCCAUGCGUGCAUAUUGAAGCAAGUGAUAAUUAUAAUUCCACUCAGGCUUCCACCUCGCAUUGGGAAACAUGUUCAACUUCCAGGUUAUUGUCAUACUCUUCCCUGCUGGACAUAGGGUUCAAGAUUAGAAUCCUUCUCAACACAGCAGAAUUAAGGAUAAAUCCCAUUUUCCCUUCUUGGUUAUAAAAAGAAGAGCUGAGGGGCACCUGAGUGCCUCAGUCAAUUGAGCCUCCCAACUUCAGCUCAGGUCAUGAUCUGGCAGUGUGUGAGUUCUAGUCCCACAUAGGGCUCUGUGCUGACAGCUCAGAGCCUGGAGCCCGCUUUGGGUUCUGUGUCUCCACUCUUUUUGCCCCUCCCCUGAUCACACUUUCUCUCUCCCUCUCUCUCAAAAAUAAACUUUAAAAAAUUGAAAA